Long non-coding RNA from Rhododendron vialii, 569 nucleotides. RefSeq lists it as uncharacterized. Lineage: Eukaryota; Viridiplantae; Streptophyta; Magnoliopsida; Ericales; Ericaceae. The record is from RefSeq and is a predicted model, not a curated record. The transcript is spliced from 3 exons.
UCUACCCAUUGAUUUUAAGGCAAGCGAAUUUUCGUUCAGAGAAGAAGCAUUUAGAUAUAACCGAGGAAUCUUGGCACCCCUACCUGGGAAAUUUAUUUUCCUUCCUUUUUUUCUGCAGAACAAGUGCAAUAGAGGGUUUCACAUUCAUCAACAUGAAUGAUCCUUCCUUGAUUAAUAUCCCGUUCUAUCAGGCAUUUAAUGGAAAGAAAUGGGAUAAGUUCAACAGCGAAAAGGUGGGCAUCACUUGCUUAUGCUCGCAUACAAUGAAAUGCUGCUUUUAUCGGUCAUUUCCAGAACUCAAGCUUGAUGAAUGAGGAUAGGCGGUACCGGCCAAUCCUCUUCAACACCGAUGGUCCCAAUGCAGGUCAAGACUCCCAAGGAAUGGCCUGCACUAUGGUGGUGGGAAAGUUUGCGAGGCUGAAAUGGACUCCAAAUAGAUCGGAUAAAACUGUAAAUACACUUUUUGAUGUACAAUCUACUAUCAUCACUACAAGAACAAAAAACAUAUGUAUAUUAAGUUCCCGAAUACCAAUUAAACCAAUGAGAACGCAGAAACGUGCAAAACACAA